GAGUUAGCCGGUGCUUAUUCCUAAGGUACCGUCAAAAUUCUUCCCUCAGAAAAGAUCUUUACACCCCGAAGGGCUUCAUCAAUCACGCGGUGUUGCUCCAUCAGACUUUCGUCCCAUUGUGGAAGAUUCCUUA
This 133-nucleotide ribosomal RNA is filed under the name uncultured bacterium. RNAcentral describes it as "partial 16S ribosomal RNA". The record is from RNAcentral.